RNAcentral lists this unclassified non-coding RNA (1406 nucleotides) under Drosophila mojavensis. RNAcentral describes it as "GI22929". Lineage: Eukaryota; Metazoa; Arthropoda; Insecta; Diptera; Drosophilidae. The record is from RNAcentral.
UUGGGGUCGCUUUCUCGGCACCGCGACUUGGUCAGCAUCAGUGUUCUCGGGGUUUCGACAGCGUAUAGUGUGUUUGAAACGCUAAGUGCCUUUUUCCGGUUUUCUUCCCUCCUAAGCAAAUAACAAAAACACAAACACCAUGGACGCCAUCAAGAAGAAGAUGCAAGCGAUGAAGCUUGAGAAGGAUAAUGCCAUUGAUAAGGCAGAUACCUGCGAGAAUCAAGCUAAGGAUGCCAACUCCCGUGCCGACAAACUCAAUGAGGAGGUGCGCGACUUGGAGAAGAAAUUUGUUCAGGUUGAGGUCGAUUUGGUCACCGCCAAGGAGCAGCUGGAGAAGGCCAACACCGAAUUGGAGGAGAAGGAGAAACUGUUGACCGCCACGGAAUCCGAGGUAGCCACCUUGAACCGUAAGGUGCAACAGAUUGAGGAGGAUUUGGAGAAAUCUGAGGAGCGCUCAACCACCGCACAACAGAAGCUGUUGGAGGCCACACAGUCGGCCGAUGAGAACAACCGUAUGUGCAAAGUAUUGGAGAACCGUUCCCAGCAGGAUGAGGAGCGUAUGGAUCAGUUGACCAACCAAUUGAAGGAAGCUCGCAUGCUUGCUGAGGAUGCCGAUACCAAGUCCGAUGAGGUCUCCCGCAAGCUGGCCUUCGUUGAAGACGAGCUCGAAGUGGCUGAGGAUCGUGUCCGCUCCGGUGAAUCCAAGAUCAUGGAGCUGGAGGAAGAACUGAAGGUUGUCGGCAACUCGCUGAAAUCUUUGGAAGUGUCCGAGGAGAAGGCCAACCAGCGCGUUGAGGAAUUCAAGCGUGAGAUGAAGACCUUGUCUAUCAAGUUGAAGGAGGCCGAACAGCGCGCCGAACAGGCUGAGAAGCAAGUCAAGCGCCUGCAGAAGGAAGUCGACAGGCUAGAAGACCGUCUCUUCCAUGAGAAAGAAAAAUACAAAGCAAUCUGCGACGAUUUGGACCAGACAUUUGCUGAACUUACUGGAUAUUAAAAACCAAACAAGAAAAACCAAUUGCCAAACAGUUCCCAUAAUGACAUACACACACACACUGACAUGCGUCCAAACACAUACAUAUACACGCACAUACAGAGACACAAGCAAAUGUAUUCCCCUAUCAUAUUUUGCAUUAUUCAUAUCCCCUACUUUUGGACACUGUGCAGAUCAGUCACAAUUUACACUGUAAAUAAUUUGUAUAGUCUUGUGGUUGCUCUCCAACAUACCACCCAGCCCUCAAGAUACUAUUACACUGUAAAAAAAAGAAACAGUUCCACUCUCUAUAUGCCAACUGUAGUUAUUUAUGCUUUCGAAACAACAGACGAGCUGGGCAUCAACAAGGACAGGUACAAGUCUCUGGCCGACGAGAUGGACUCCACAUUCGCCGAAUUGGCUGGCUACUAAACAU